This 366-nucleotide ribosomal RNA is filed under the name uncultured bacterium. RNAcentral's name for it is "bacterial SSU rRNA". It matches the Rfam family "Bacterial small subunit ribosomal RNA", at positions 796 to 1166 of the family's 1533-position model. The record is from RNAcentral.
CACGCCGUAAACGAUGAUCACUCGCUGUUAGCGAUACACUGUUAGCGGCUAAGCAAAAGCAUUAAGUGAUCCACCUGGGGAGUACGGCCGCAAGGCUGAAACUCAAAGGAAUUGACGGGGGCCCGCACAAGCGGAGGAACAUGUGGUUUAAUUCGAUGAUACGCGAGGAACCUUACCUGGGCUUAAAUGUAGAGUGCAUUGGUGUGAAAGCAUCAUUUUCUUCGGAACUCUCUGCAAGGUGCUGCAUGGUUGUCGUCAGCUCGUGCCGUGAGGUGUCGGGUUAAGUCCCAUAACGAGCGCAACCCUUAUCGUUAGUUGCCAGCGGGUAAUGCCGGGAACUCUAACGAAACUGCCGGUGUAAACCGU